Molecule: ribosomal RNA, 242 nt
Filed under: Chroomonas cf. mesostigmatica
Lineage: Eukaryota; Cryptophyceae; Pyrenomonadales; Chroomonadaceae
Description: partial Bacterial large subunit ribosomal RNA
Rfam family: Bacterial large subunit ribosomal RNA
Source: RNAcentral
CUGGGUUCAGAACGUCGUGAGACAGUUCGGUCUGUAUCCGUCGUGGGCGUUGGAAGAUUGAUGGACGCCGUCCCUAGUACGAGAGGACCGGGACGGACCAACCUCUGGUGUGCCGGUUGUCGCGCCCGCGGCAGCGCCGGGUAGCUAUGUUGGGAAGGGAUAACCGCUGAACGCAUCUAAGUGGGAAGCCCCUCCAAAGAUGAAUCUUCCCGGGGGUUCGACCCCCCUGAAGGGCCUUGGGA